Molecule: transfer RNA, 32 nt
Filed under: Hepatica japonica
Lineage: Eukaryota; Viridiplantae; Streptophyta; Magnoliopsida; Ranunculales; Ranunculaceae
Description: Anemone hepatica var. japonica partial transfer RNA-Phe
Source: RNAcentral
GUGGGGAUGCCGCAUCGGGAAGAGUCGGGCAA